Molecule: long non-coding RNA, 220 nt
Organism: Cyphomyrmex costatus
Lineage: Eukaryota; Metazoa; Arthropoda; Insecta; Hymenoptera; Formicidae
Exons: 3
Source: RefSeq, a predicted model, not a curated record
GAUACAGUUCUUAUAUUGUUGAUCCUAAAACAUUAUAUUUUUAUCCGUUAGCAGAUGACGGUGUAACAAUUGUUAGAAGAAGUAACGUAAAUAAUACCGAGCAAUUAGUGCAAGAGCCAUUUUAUCAUGAAGAUAGAAGUAAUAUUAUACAAAUACCACAAUCAACUGAUUCAACUGAGCGACAAAAAAUCUCUGAACCACUUAAAAAGGUCUCUAGGAA